Long non-coding RNA from Triticum dicoccoides, 137 nucleotides. RefSeq lists it as uncharacterized. The record is from RefSeq and is a predicted model, not a curated record. Lineage: Eukaryota; Viridiplantae; Streptophyta; Magnoliopsida; Poales; Poaceae. The transcript has 2 exons.
CCGCAUAGCUUUGGUCAAGCCUGAUAAAGCAAGAGGAGUGGAGGAUGUUCUGCUGAGAGCUGCACAAACUGGUGGAAUGUCUGAAAAGGUGUCUGAAGAAAGGCUUAUCUCACUUCUGAAGCAAAUCAACACCCACA